CAAUAGCGUAUAUUUAAGUUGUUGCAGUUAAAAAGCUCGUAGUUGGAUUUUGGGUCGGGGGCACCGGUCCGCCGUUCCGGUGUGCACUGGUGGCCCCUUCCUUUCUGCCGGGGACGUGCGUCGCACUUAAUUGGGUGGCGUGCGGAGUCGGCGUUGUUACUUUGAAAAAAUUAGAGUGUUCAAAGCAAGCCAUCGCUCUGAAUACAUUAGCAUGGAAUAACAUGAUAGGACUCCGGUCUUAUUUUGUUGGUUUCCGAGACUGGAGUAAUGAUUAAGAGGGACAGUCGGGGGCAUCCGUAUUUCAUUGUCAGAGGUGAAAUUCUUGGAUUUAUGAAAGACGAACUUCUGCGAAAGCAUUUGCCAAGGAUGUUUUCAUUAA
Molecule: ribosomal RNA, 379 nt
Filed under: uncultured eukaryote
Lineage: Eukaryota
Description: partial 18S ribosomal RNA
Rfam family: Eukaryotic small subunit ribosomal RNA
Source: RNAcentral